GACGAACGCUGGCGGCGUGCUUAACACAUGCAAGUCGAACGGUGAAGCGCCUUCCUUUUUGGUGGGUGUGGAUGAGUGGCGAACGGGUGAGUAACACGUGAGUAACCUGCCCCCUUCUUCUGGAUAACCGCAUGAAAGUGUGGCUAAUACGGGAUAUUCUGGGUCUGUCGCAUGAUGGGUCUGGGAAAGAUCUUGUUUCGGUGGGGGAUGGGCUCGCGGCCUAUCAGCUUGUUGGUGGGGUGAUGGCCUACCAAGGCGGUGACGGGUAGCCGGCCUGAGAGGGUGGACGGUCACACUGGGACUGAGACACGGCCCAGACUACUACGGGAGGCAGCAGUGGGGAAUAUUGCACAAUGGGCGCAAGCCUGAUGCAGCGACGCCGCGUGAGGGAUGGAGGCCUUCGGGUUGUGAACCUCUUUCGCCAGUGAAGCAGGCCUGCCUCGUUUGUGGGUGGGUUGACGGUAGCUGGAUAAGAAGCGCCGGCUAACUACGUG
This 494-nucleotide ribosomal RNA is filed under the name uncultured bacterium. RNAcentral's name for it is "partial 16S ribosomal RNA". It matches the Rfam family "Bacterial small subunit ribosomal RNA", at positions 28 to 507 of the family's 1533-position model. The record is from RNAcentral.